Molecule: non-coding RNA, 186 nt
Organism: Acetobacterium bakii
Lineage: Bacteria; Bacillati; Bacillota; Clostridia; Eubacteriales; Eubacteriaceae
Source: Rfam
GGCGGCUAGUUUAGCUUAUUAUAGUCACAAGAAAUACUUUUACAAAAGGAACGCGGUGUAAAUCCGCGACAGUUUCUUUGCUACUGUAAGGAGAAUAUGGACGCAUUCAGUCAUUGGGUUAACCGAGAAGACUGGGUACAGAACGCCUCUCCAAGUCAGGAUAUUUUUGUAAGGGUAAUAUUUAUU